UCUAUGGGAGCCGUUCUCGCCAUGCAGCAUCGCUGGUCUGCGUCGGCACUUGCCAUCCCUGGGAUGGGCUUUUGUGGCUGGACUGGGGGCACAAGUGGGGACAGACGGGGCUGAGCCUCUCCAUGUGACACCGGCACCUCCGCCAGGCUCCCACACCUCCGCGAGGGACAAGGACAUUGCCCAGCUGGCCUUGGCCAAGGGAAGGGGCCCCUGGUGGUUCCCCACCACUGGGCACAGCGAAGCCAACUCUUUUCUCUGCAUUUUCCCCUUUUCCUCCCCCCAUUUGGCUUUUGGCAGCGGAGCUGCCGUGGCGGCUGGGGUGCGCGGUGCCGGGGAAGGGCUGCCAAGCCUCGGCAGCCCCCCGCGGCCCCCCGGCCCACCGUGCCAAGGCUGGUGGCUGGCAGAAGGGCUGCCUGCGCCUGGCAGGGCUCCGUCAGCUGCGGGAGGAUCCCUGUGCCGCGCUUGCUGCCAAUUUCCCUGCGAGCUGGCACCACAGGCGGCUCUGGAGGCACCGGCGGAGAAGGCUGGGGAGGACGGAUUGUGAAAGGGAGAGAGGAAAAAAAAAAUAAUGGACACAUGCCAUCGCUGGAGCGGCGAGGCUGCCAAAACGCCAGCAGGCAGCAGGGGCCAAAAUCCACCGGUGGCAGAGAGGAGGGUCUGGCAGCGUGGGCACAUGGAGAGCGGGCAGCACGGCAGAGGCACAGCGUGGCCGAGGCAGGAUGGGCAGCAAACGGAGGAGCCGGAGACAAGAGAGAUCCCAGUCUCGUGGGAGCAGCCCCUGCCUGGCCCUGGAUGCCACUGUGUCACCCAAUCCUGGGGCACAGACUCACACUUGGUGGUGCCAUGGGCCAUGUGACAUGGCAUGUGGAUGUGCCACCAGUUUCGUCCUUGCUGGGAUGUGCCAGCAACUGCUGAGCACCGAACCUGCUGGUACAUGGCAACAGGAAUGGGAAUCCCCCUGUGACCUUCCUGCAGCCAUCAGAUUUCAGCAUCCCCAGGAGUGAAGAAGGUUUAUCCAUUUGGAGGCUUAUCCAUGUGAACUCCAGUACACGUGGAGCUUUACCAAACACACUCAGGCCCUGCUGGCUGCCUCAGGGGCCAGGAUUUUGCCCGGGAAUGAGAAACGUGCUCCCAUUCAUGCUCUGGACCAUGGGAGUGCAGAGGCUGAUGCUGGCAUCACCCCACAGGACCUGCAUGGACACACCAAGGGCUGUGCCAGGAGCUCCUCUGCACACCUGGAGCACCAUCAGUCCUAAUCCUGACCCUGCUUCUCAGUGUUCAGGGAAUGCUUUGGCAUGUAUUCCUCAUCCCCACCCCAAGCCGGGAGCUGUGGGUGUGUGGGGCCAUCACACCCCUCCAUUCCCGAGGAAUUGGGCUGGGAAAUCUUGUAACUGCAUUGAUUUUGGAGUGGGAUGGAGAAGCUGGGGGAGGUACUGUGGGGUGCUGGGGGUGCUUGGGGUGUGGGAGUGCCCGGGCACAGGCAGGGCAGCGGGAGCUGCCGGUCACUGCCAGGUUACAUCUGCCGGGGCACGCAAGAGUGACUCCAGAUGCAUUAGAAGUGCCAUGCUCCAAUUUCAAUUUCAUCGUCUCACAAUCAUUUUCAGGCUCCUCUUAGUGCCACAUUAACGAAGCCUGCUCGUUUGAAUGCAUAAUUAGCCCAAGCAUUCUACCUCGCUAAUUUCGAAGCAAGGGGGGGGAGGGAAGAGGGGGGAAUUUGCAUAUUAAUUUAGCAGAGGGAGAGAAAAACUGUUUACCACUUGCUUCUUGCUGUUGAUCACAGCGGACUUAACUCUUUCCCGGGUACCAUCUGGAGCUGUGGAGCCGGGAACCCAGCCGGCACGUGGGACAGGAUGCAAAGGUUACAAGGCAGCAAUUAAAUCCUCCUCGACCACCCUGGUUGCCUUUGGGAGCUGACUGGGAGCACUGGUGUUGAGGCUCCUGGGAGCACAGGGCUGGUGAAGGGCAGCUGAGGUGGUGAUAGAUGCUCCAAGGUGUUCCCCAGCCCUCCUCCACAUGUGGUUCUGGGGUGAAACUGCCACUGUCACCUGCCCCAGGGUGGCAAAGUCCCAUCCUGGGUCUGUCCCUUCCAUCCUUGGCAAAGCCAGGAGAAGGGAUUCCCAACAGCAUCAUCCCUCCUGCAAAGGACGGAUGGGUCUGCCCUGUCACCCUUGGUGUGUCCCCUUCAAAGGGACACCUCUGUCCUCAUAUUUCCCUUAAUUUUAGCAUCAUCCACCUGUAAUAUGGUGUUAGAUGAGCAUGUGCCAUCCCCAAAAUCCCUUUGGGUCUCAUGGAUUUGGUGUGCAUGGGAUGCCCACAGACCUGCUGCACCCACAGAGCACCCACAGACCAGGGUGGGCAGCCUGGUUGAGCACUGGCAACUCAUUACACCUCCCCCCCAUUACCACCCCUCUUCGUUUGGGAGUCCGUGGGUGUCUUGAGCCGAGGUUGGAGGUAAUUUGUCUGUCUCCUGCAGUGGGCUGUCAUCUCGCAUCUGUGAAUCAGUUCCAUUUGCACUGCCAUUAAAAAAACCUCAGAUCUGACAGGUAGUAAAAAAAAACAUUAAAAAAUUGCAACAGGAUGUUGGGAAUAUCACAAGCUCAUUCCAGAGAUAGCUAGAUUUGAGGGUUGUCACAGCUCCGAUGAGCCGUAUUUUGGCCUUUGGACAGGUAUUCCCAUCUCAUCUGGCCUUUGCACCUCCAUUCCAGCUCCCCAAAAUGACUUUCCACCCCUGGAGACCCACUGCCCCGCCAUCCACUCUUUUCUGCUGGCUUGAAGCCAUCCCAGUGCGUCACAGCAAUUUGGGGACACCUCCAUCCCUGGCAUCCCUUUGUGACUCCUGCAUCCCAGCUGGCACAGAGACAUGCACAAGGGGUUUAUCCAUCACCCUGCUAUGAGAACAUGGAGCUGCAUGGAAGGGGACAUCCCAAAUGUGGGUCUGGGGUCUCCAGAGUGGCCGGAGUGGUGCUGGGUUUGUGGUGGAGCGUGGGGCUGGCUCAGAGGGGGUUAACAGUUGAUUACAGCCUUUGUCUCCGCAUCAGUGUACAUAAUGCGCCCGCAUUUGCAUACUGCAGUGUGCGCUCAAUUAAAAUGAACUUUUAAUUUCUUCUAA
This is a long non-coding RNA of Corapipo altera (White-ruffed manakin), 3109 nucleotides long. RefSeq lists it as uncharacterized. The record is from RefSeq and is a predicted model, not a curated record. The transcript is spliced from 2 exons. Lineage: Eukaryota; Metazoa; Chordata; Aves; Passeriformes; Pipridae.